GUUCCAAUAUAUACAUUCUUUGUAUGUGUUUACUUUUCCCCCUAGAGUUAUGGCUAAACUGAAUAGAACCAAAUUCCCAAGAUCUGCUUCUUUCUCUUUUAAUAUCCUAUUUUUCCAAAGCCACCGAGCUGAUGUCCUUCAACAAAUGGAUUAAAGUAAAUGCUGAGAACCAGCUCUCGUGUCCGAGCAGGGGGGAAUGAAGGGUUUAUACCCAAGGCAACUAGGGGCAUACUCAUGAUGGUCAAUAUAACAUUAAGGCUCUUACUCUAGAGACCAGGAUGAACAACUCUGAACUUCACAGGCUCAGCUUCAAGUAUACAAGGAAGAGCCUGUGGCUGGAUGGUAAUGGCAUUAACAGGAAACAAGGGGGGAAGGGGAAGGAAAGAGAGGUCCUUAGGGAGGCCUAACAAAAAAAAAAAAAAAAAAAAAGCUCAGAAGUUAAAAUGACCUAAUUUGUUUGGCAGCUUAUUCAGAGGCCGGAGGCUUAGAAUACAAGCCACAUUCCUCUAACAUCUUUAGCAGCAAUACCAUAUUUGGUAAUCAAUAUCCUGCGCAGCUAAGUUUCCAUCCAUAGGGAUUAGCCAAGCCAAAAACAUUUUAAAUGUUAAGGGAUGAUGAAGAGGAGAAAAAAGAGGGGCAGGAAAAGGGAGAACACAGAAACGAAGAGGGAAAAAAGAAAAAGAGGCAGAUAGGAAGAAGACAAGAGAAAAAAAUUCCUUGUGUUUUUAAUUAAAGCCUACUAAGAUUCUUCUCUGGCUACAAUUACUCCACAUUAAAUGCUGUCAGGAUAAGAUUACUGCCAAGUGAAAGGGUGAACCUGUGUCUUUCAAAAGCAACCUUUUCCUCUCUUGCUCAUAAUUCACCGUUCUUCUCACAAUGAACAGAGAACCUUUCUCUUCCAA
Molecule: long non-coding RNA, 902 nt
Filed under: Homo sapiens (human)
Lineage: Eukaryota; Metazoa; Chordata; Mammalia; Primates; Hominidae
Description: non-protein coding lnc-GTF2E2-4:1
Source: RNAcentral